Molecule: ribosomal RNA, 271 nt
Filed under: uncultured Lachnospiraceae bacterium
Lineage: Bacteria; Bacillati; Bacillota; Clostridia; Lachnospirales; Lachnospiraceae
Description: partial 16S ribosomal RNA
Rfam family: Bacterial small subunit ribosomal RNA
Source: RNAcentral
ACUUCGGUCAAUGGAAGCUUUGACUUAGUGGCGGACGGGUGAGUAACGCGUGAGGAACCUGCCUUUCAGAGGGGGAUAGCAGCUGGAAACGGCUGGUAAUACCGCAUAAGCGCACAGCAUCGCAUGAUGCAGUGUGAAAAACUCCGGUGGUAUAAGAUGGACCCGCGUUGGAUUAGCUAGUUGGUGAGGUAACGGCCCACCAAGGCAACGAUCCAUAGCCGACCUGAGAGGGUGACCGGCCACAUUGGGACUGAGACACGGCCCAAACUCC